Molecule: ribosomal RNA, 253 nt
Filed under: uncultured bacterium
Lineage: Bacteria
Description: partial 16S ribosomal RNA
Rfam family: Bacterial small subunit ribosomal RNA
Source: RNAcentral
UACGUAGGUGACCAGCGUUGUCCGGAUUUACUGGGCGUAAAGAGCGCGCAGGCGGUCGUUCAAGUCGAGUGUGAAAGCCCCCAGCUCAACUGGGGAGGGUCACUCGAUACUGAUCGACUUGAAGGCAGGAGAGGGAAGCGGAAUUCCCGGUGUAGUGGUGAAAUGCGUAGAUAUCGGGAGGAACACCAGUGGCGAAGGCGGCUUCCUGGCCUGUUCUUGACGCUGAGGCGCGAAAGCUAGGGGAGCAAACGGG